UUUCCUCCCUUGCAUCCGCACGGUUGCAAGGGGGACCCCGAAGCAUUCGUCGCGUCCCUGACAAGCCUCGUGUUUUCGUCGGGGCUGUCACGGUGCGUGGAUGUCUGCUAGUCCCUCUCGGAUGCGGAAGAGUCGCGACGGGCGCGGGGGCGUCUCGCCUCCGAACGGUCCCGAUCCAUUGUCCCUUUUUGCGGAUGACGAUUGCGGCCGCACGCGCCUCUGGCAAUCACGCCGGCAAGGUUGCGUGCGGGGCUCGCGACGUCCCGAAGG
Molecule: unclassified non-coding RNA, 270 nt
Filed under: Aphananthe monoica
Lineage: Eukaryota; Viridiplantae; Streptophyta; Magnoliopsida; Rosales; Cannabaceae
Description: partial 26S-18S external transcribed spacer
Source: RNAcentral